ACAAAAUCAAGCAGACACCGCAGCAGAGUUAAACAUCCCUUUCUUAAAAUUGGAGUAGAUAUUUACGUUAUUCAUUAUUUUAUCAUAUAUUUCAUGUAUAAAGGCCUGUUAGACAGUCUCGAAGGGCUGCACAAUGAAUGUAGAAAAUGUGUGUGAUGAAACAGGUGGCGAUGAAAAUGCACGACGUAUUUAACCAUUCAGCAGAACACACGGAAGACAGACAACAGCGUCGCCGUUCUUCCGCCGAAGGCCAGAUGGAAAUGAGCCAUGUACUACCUGGGACAGAGGAAUGCUGGGAUAUGUAUGCUGAACCAUUGGAUGUGACUCUUAUCAUUCCUCUCUGUCCUGCCCAUCUGUUUCUGACCGGACUGGAAUGAGGUGGCAGGCUGGUAUAACGGGAGCGGGGCAGACAGGAAACAGGAAGCUCAGGAGCCCUGUGACAUCAUCACAGAAGCUUUGACCGGCUGCUUCCUAAAUUACAGCAACUGUUUUUUGUGGUCUGCUCACCGAAACUUUAACAUGGGUGUUCAGGGUUAUCUUGUGUUUAUUCACCUUCCUGUUUCAAUAUGUCAAGGACAAUGAAAAGGUUUUUCAGAGAGCUCGCUUUCAUUUGAACACCCACAAACAGGUGCCAGGUUUUUGUUUAAUUGCUUAAAAAAAAAAACGCAGCAAGGUUAAAGUCCUCUUCUCAGUCACUGGCUGCUGAAACAUGGCAGUGGUUAUUCCAGUUGGAUCCGGCCAGUUAGAUACAGUACUCUUCUGGCCUGCAAAUCCAAGGGUCAAAUUAUUAAUCUGUUUGCCAAAGCGUAUUUACAGGUUGGGAAUGAAAGGCCCUAAGUUUGGGGUCACUUUAUCCUCUGGCACCCCAAAAACUAAUUUGAGGGGGAAGGGAGGCUGCUGGGUGGCUCAUUAUGUUAAGGCUCUGCUCUAGUGCGUAGAUGGACUCUGUGGUCUGGUGUUGAAUCCGGACUGUGCUGAUUGGCCAACAGUCAUGCAGGGCAACGCGUAAUUGGCCCCCCAGGGAGGGAGGUGCUCUGCCAGCCAGGGUGACGGCCCCCCUUGCUGGCCAAUCAGGACAUCCGUGGUCCAGCUGUCGAGCUGGACAUGCAGUGUCUUCUCUGACCGGUCUGUGGGCCCAUCUUAUCAACCAUUUUGUGAAAAUAAAUGGCGGCGGGCGACAUCAUA
This is a long non-coding RNA of Conger conger (European conger), 1185 nucleotides long. RefSeq lists it as uncharacterized. The record is from RefSeq and is a predicted model, not a curated record. The transcript is spliced from 3 exons. NCBI's taxonomy places the organism in Eukaryota, Metazoa, Chordata, Actinopteri, Anguilliformes, Congridae.